RNAcentral lists this small RNA (68 nucleotides) under Sinorhizobium meliloti 2011. RNAcentral describes it as "putative ncRNA". Lineage: Bacteria; Pseudomonadati; Pseudomonadota; Alphaproteobacteria; Hyphomicrobiales; Rhizobiaceae. The record is from RNAcentral.
CUCUGAGACGACCACGGCGGCAUCCUCGUCAGCCGUCCACGUCGUCUGAAGGUCCCGGAGCCAACGCG